AAAUUGAAGAGUUUGAUCAUGGCUCAGAUUGAACGCUGGCGGCAGGCCUAACACAUGCAAGUCGAACGGUAACAGGAAGCAGCUUGCUGCUUUGCUGACGAGUGGCGGACGGGUGAGUAAUGUCUGGGAAACUGCCUGAUGGAGGGGGAUAACUACUGGAAACGGUGGCUAAUACCGCAUAACGUCGCAAGACCAAAGAGGGGGACCUUCGGGCCUCUUGCCAUCAGAUGUGCCCAGAUGGGAUUAGCUAGUUGGUGAGGUAACGGCUCACCAAGGCGACGAUCCCUAGCUGGUCUGAGAGGAUGACCAGCCACACUGGAACUGAGACACGGUCCAGACUCCUACGGGAGGCAGCAGUGGGGAAUAUUGCACAAUGGGCGCAAGCCUGAUGCAGCCAUGCCGCGUGUAUGAAGAAGGCCUUCGGGUUGUAAAGUACUUUCAGCGGGGAGGAAGGUGUUGUGGUUAAUAACCGCAGCAAUUGACGUUACCCGCAGAAGAAGCACCGGCUAACUCCGUGCCAGCAGCCGCGGUAAUACGGAGGGUGCAAGCGUUAAUCGGAAUUACUGGGCGUAAAGCGCACGCAGGCGGUCUGUCAAGUCGGAUGUGAAAUCCCCGGGCUCAACCUGGGAACUGCAUUCGAAACUGGCAGGCUUGAGUCUUGUAGAGGGGGGUAGAAUUCCAGGUGUAGCGGUGAAAUGCGUAGAGAUCUGGAGGAAUACCGGUGGCGAAGGCGGCUCCCUGGACAAAGACUGACGCUCAGGUGCGAAAGCGUGGGGAGCAAACAGGAUUAGAUACCCUGGUAGUCCACGCCGUAAACGAUGUCUACUUGGAGGUUGUGCCCUUGAGGCGUGGCUUCCGGAGCUAACGCGUUAAGUAGACCGCCUGGGGAGUACGGCCGCAAGGUUAAAACUCAAAUGAAUUGACGGGGGCCCGCACAAGCGGUGGAGCAUGUGGUUUAAUUCGAUGCAACGCGAAGAACCUUACCUGGUCUUGACAUCCACGGAAGUUUUCAGAGAUGAGAAUGUGCCUUCGGGAACCGUGAGACAGGUGCUGCAUGGCUGUCGUCAGCUCGUGUUGUGAAAUGUUGGGUUAAGUCCCGCAACGAGCGCAACCCUUAUCCUUUGUUGCCAGCGAUUAGGUCGGGAACUCAAAGGAGACUGCCAGUGAUAAACUGGAGGAAGGUGGGGAUGACGUCAAGUCAUCAUGGCCCUUACGACCAGGGCUACACACGUGCUACAAUGGCGCAUACAAAGAGAAGCGACCUCGCGAGAGCAAGCGGACCUCAUAAAGUGCGUCGUAGUCCGGAUUGGAGUCUGCAACUCGACUCCAUGAAGUCGGAAUCGCUAGUAAUCGUGGAUCAGAAUGCCACGGUGAAUACGUUCCCGGGCCUUGUACACACCGCCCGUCACACCAUGGGAGUGGGUUGCAAAAGAAGUAGGUAGCUUAACCUUCGGGAGGGCGCUUACCACUUUGUGAUUCAUGACUGGGGUGAAGUCGUAACAAGGUAACCGUAGGGGAACCUGCGGUUGGAUCACCUCCUUA
This 1542-nucleotide ribosomal RNA is filed under the name Salmonella enterica. Its description in RNAcentral is "16S ribosomal RNA". It matches the Rfam family "Bacterial small subunit ribosomal RNA". RNAcentral also lists the same sequence under 1 other name. The record is from RNAcentral. Lineage: Bacteria; Pseudomonadati; Pseudomonadota; Gammaproteobacteria; Enterobacterales; Enterobacteriaceae.